UAAAAGUGCGCCGCAUUUAUCCGCAAUCUCCCUGAACCUUUUGUAAUCCCAGUCCCUGGGAUAAGCACUUCCUCCACAGAUAAUCAAUUUAGGCCUGAAAUCCAGGGCCUUCUCCUCCAAUCUAUCGUAAUCGAUGUAGCCAGUCUUCGAAUCCACCUUAUAAGGCAAGCUCUCGAAGUAAAUCGAUGUGGCACUGAUUUUCUUCCCACCAGAGGUAUAAUACCCAUGUGUCAAAUGCCCUCCCGAAGGCAAAUCAAGGCCCAUGAUCCUAUCAUGCGGGUUGAGG
This 286-nucleotide long non-coding RNA is filed under the name Olea europaea (common olive). Its description in RNAcentral is "long non-coding RNA (OEUR_LNC002360)". The record is from RNAcentral. Lineage: Eukaryota; Viridiplantae; Streptophyta; Magnoliopsida; Lamiales; Oleaceae.